CAUGUUUUGUUGAGAUUAGCAGUGUAAAUAUCAAUAACUCUGUUUGUUUACACAGUCCAAAGGGUGUUUUCAGUUGCCAAAAUAAGUAGGUGAAGUUCCAGUAUUUCUAAAUGUUGACCGGGCAGUUUAAUAAUUUUCUAAAAACAAGUCACGGUCUUAAUAAUAAUAUAAUAUCAAUAAUUAACGUGUUGACAUUCGAAUUACAAACAACCAAAGAACACAUCAAACGUGUGAUGCUGCUUGUGGAGAGAACAACAAUUUAUAAAUUACAUUUCCAACUCCUAUUCCUUCACAUCUCCAUUUACAGAGCCAUUUUCUGUCUUCCAUUGAUAAGAACUAACAUGGAAGGAAGUGAGUAAACCGGGAGGAAUCUCAUAAUUACCUGGCUGGCCAAAGACAGGAUGAACGCCCAGUCCUCCUGCCACUGCUCCUCUCUCAGGGAGAAGUGCAGACCAAAGCUCUUGGGAGCAGUCGUGCAGGCUGUCGUGGAGGGUCUUGCGGAGGAUGGAGUCCUUGUCGUAGAUGCCCCAGGUGGCCUGCAGAACAGAGUCCAGCAGACAGUCCCCGGCCGUACGGUUCCAUAAGGCAUACAGGCGACUGUCCAGGCGCGUGCCCAGCUCCAAAGACCAGUUGAUGACGGGAGAUUCCUCUUCCAACUCUAUACACACAGAGAGAAGACAGCAUGGAUUGAUGUGGGGUGAGAGCACUACACAGAGGUCAGCUUCCAUCAGGCCAUGUUCAAACCAUUUUGUGUUUGUCAAACUCUGCAGGAUGGGCAACAAGGAAGUAUAGUUGAACUUUUUAGAAGAACCAGAGUUAUAAUGGGGAUUAAGUGAAAAGUGGAUGGAUCUCAAUGUAUUCACCAAAACGCACAGGAACAGAGCUGCUGAGUUGAAAGUUUAAGAUGUGCAACUGCUGCAGCUAAUUGUUAUAGGGAAAAAAUGAGUAUUGCAAAACCUGCUGCUCAGCAUUUCUAUUUCUUGCUGAUUUAGUAUGAAGCACACCUUUACCAAUUCCUCAGUCACUUACUAUGCAAAAGCCCAGCACACCACUCCUCAGUGAUCUAGUUCAUAGAGGCUUAAAUAGGUCACAGGAUUCCACUAGUAUCUUCAGUACAACACAUUAACACACAGCCCUGGGAAUGUGACUUUGUUAUGUGCGUGCGUGUGUGUGCGUGUGUGGGUAUAUAAAAACAAUGAGGUCAAUAUAAGAAAGGGGACAGAAGAUGAAGCAGGUGCUGGUGAGCUUAUGACGGAAAGAAGAGUUGAAGAGCAGAUGUUGGGUUUUAGAUAUCCCUUAGAAGAGCAGAUCAUGAAUCACAGGCAUCCAAAACCUGCCAUGUCUGAACACGUGAUACACACACAUGCAGAUAACAUGUAGGAAUACUCGGGUACCUUUCUGCACAUCCCGAUCCAACACAUCAUCAAACAGCUUCUCUUGGACAGCAGGCGGCAGGUCCUCUAUAUCUGCAACGACAGAUGAGACAGAUAUGUAUUCAUGCUCAUCAGAACCUAAUGGAAGCACCAGGGGCAACAGAAAUGCUACAGUAAUGACACACAGAGGGGAUGGUCUUUGCAAUUGCUUUCACUGGCUGACAUUUUGUCAAUAGCACACUGUAAAGACAAGCUCUGUACAGCAUGUUGUGCUUCUAUGUGUGUAUUGAACUGUGCGCACCCGAAGCCAGAACACUGGCGGCUAUUCUCUGGCUCAAUAGUGAAUGGCACUGGCUUUGUCUGAAAGAGAGAGAGCGACAGAAAUGGAGGGAGAACGCCUUGCAGCUGGCCCCGGGCCAAAUUCUGUCUGCAAAGAAAUACUUGACAUACAAAAAAAAGAAAAA
Molecule: long non-coding RNA, 1837 nt
Organism: Pleuronectes platessa (European plaice)
Lineage: Eukaryota; Metazoa; Chordata; Actinopteri; Pleuronectiformes; Pleuronectidae
Exons: 2
Source: RefSeq, a predicted model, not a curated record